Long non-coding RNA from Sapajus apella (tufted capuchin), 488 nucleotides. RefSeq lists it as uncharacterized. The transcript has 4 exons. NCBI's taxonomy places the organism in Eukaryota, Metazoa, Chordata, Mammalia, Primates, Cebidae. The record is from RefSeq and is a predicted model, not a curated record.
CAAAAAUCUAUAGAUGGUUAUAAAAGGUUUUUACUUCUUUAAAAUUUCUCAGUCAUCAUUUUGGCAAAGUAAGUAAUUUAUGGUAAUCUGGAAUUCCAAAAUCAAACUUCAGUUUCAAAAUUGUCUUUCCUAAUGACUGGCUUUUUUAAUGAAUCAGAGGGCUCCUGAAAACGUCCAAAAAGGAGGUAAGCAGGAUUAUUUGACAUCUUCAGGUACAUGGGAUUGCCAAAAUGUGUUCAACCUUCUUCAGGUUAUAUUUUUGUGAGUAAUAUUAAUAUAUAUAUUCCUAAAUUGUAUGGAAUUUAUAAAAUUCUAAUGUCUAUAUGCUAUCAAUUAUAAUUAUGGUUAUUAUGCUAAGUUAUUGUAAACCACAAAAAUAACGAAAUUUUCUUGUCAGUGCUAUGCACCUAAUUUGGAAAAACAACUGGUAUACAAGAAGAUAUAAGUCUAAUGUUAAUGAAGCAUGGACUCAUGGAGAACCAAGAUGG